GCUCCUUUGGCGGCCCAAACACUGGCAUCGACACUCGCAGAGAAGAUGCGCACGGCCCCUGUGUAAGGAUGACGUGCAAAUUUGUGAAGCAGUCCAUGUUUUC
Small nuclear RNA from Echinops telfairi (small Madagascar hedgehog), 103 nucleotides. The record is from RefSeq and is a predicted model, not a curated record. Lineage: Eukaryota; Metazoa; Chordata; Mammalia; Afrosoricida; Tenrecidae.